GAUGAAGAACGUAGCGAAAUGCGAUACUUGGUGUGAAUUGCAGAAUCCCGUGAACCAUCGAGUCUUUGAACGCAAGUUGCGCCUCAAGCCAUUAGGUUGAGGGCACGUCUGCCUGGGCGUCACAUAUCGUUGCCUGAUGCCAGUUUCCUCGUGAUGGGUGACUGUGCAGGGCGAAUGAUGGCUUCCCGUGAGCAUUGUUGCCUCAUGGUUGGUUGAAAAUUGAGUCCUUGGUAGGGAGCGCCGUGAUAGAUGGUGGUUGAGUGACGAACGAGACCCAAUCAUGUGAGACCCCUACGGAAUUUGGCCUUCAUGACCCACAUGCGUCUUUGGAACGCUCAUGACGAGACCUCAGGUCAGGCGGGGCUACCCGCUGAGUUUAAGCAUAUCAAUAAGCGGAGGA
RNAcentral lists this unclassified non-coding RNA (400 nucleotides) under soil metagenome. RNAcentral describes it as "partial contains 5.8S ribosomal RNA, internal transcribed spacer 2, and large subunit ribosomal RNA". The stretch from base 1 to 122 matches the Rfam family "5.8S ribosomal RNA", at positions 35 to 154 of the family's 154-position model. The record is from RNAcentral.